UUCAAACCACUUAUGGUUUCUAGAAAAUUAAUUUAAAUUUGAACAAGGUCUAUGUUCAGUAUUUUAUAUCUUAAAGUUUCUUAUGGCCAGGCAACUUAUCAACGUUAUGCAGCUUAGUUAUUUCAAUUUAAACCGAAUCGUAGCAAUGUUCUAAAGGCAGUAACUUUUUACAUCGCCGCGAACUUUAAGGAUGGUUUUAUGGCUUUUACGGCUUGCUUUCCACCUAUUGUUGUGUGUGCUUCGACCCACAGCAUCUCCCUGCGGGAUAAUCGCUGGCCAAGACCAACAAGCUCAGCAAGGUCACUGCGGAGGUGACCCUGCCCUCCACCCUUUCUCCCCUUCACCCAGUUGCCAUUGAUGAUGCUGCUCCGGCUGGGCGAUCCCAAAGGGUUUUCAAGCUCGCAACUUUCGGGGUCGAUAAUGCUGGGGAGCACUCGCCACACUGAGAGGAAAGCAACACACAAAUAGUGCAAUUAAAAUAAAGUCAGAUGUGAAUUAAU
Long non-coding RNA from Drosophila biarmipes, 500 nucleotides. RefSeq lists it as uncharacterized. The record is from RefSeq and is a predicted model, not a curated record. NCBI's taxonomy places the organism in Eukaryota, Metazoa, Arthropoda, Insecta, Diptera, Drosophilidae. The transcript has 2 exons.